RNAcentral lists this ribosomal RNA (309 nucleotides) under uncultured eukaryote. RNAcentral's name for it is "partial 18S ribosomal RNA". It matches the Rfam family "Eukaryotic small subunit ribosomal RNA", at positions 1470 to 1796 of the family's 1831-position model. The record is from RNAcentral.
CCCUUAGAUGUUCUGGGCCGCCCGCGCACUACAUUGGCACUAGCAAAGAGAUCCUAGAUUGAAUUCUUUGGGGUAUUCUUCUAAAUGGUGUCGUGACUGGGAUAAAUCCUUGUAAUUAUUGGUUUUGAACGAGGAAUUCCUUGUAAUCGCGGUUUAUCAGCUCGCGUUGAAUGCGUCCCUGCCCUUUGUACACACCGCCCGUCGCUCCUACCGAUGGAUCGUCCGGUGAAGCUCACGGAGUGACUGUUCACGCAACGGUUUACGAAGUGAAAUGGACCUCACGAUUUAGAGGAAGGAGAAGUCGUAACA